RNAcentral lists this ribosomal RNA (345 nucleotides) under Sasajiscymnus tsugae. RNAcentral's name for it is "partial 12S ribosomal RNA". Lineage: Eukaryota; Metazoa; Arthropoda; Insecta; Coleoptera; Coccinellidae. The record is from RNAcentral.
UAAAAAUUUAAUUUAAAAUGCUAAGUUAUUAAAAGUUAUAUUCUUAAAAACUAAAUAUUUUGGCGGUAUUUUAGUCUUUUCAGAGGAACCUGUUCUGUAAUUGAUAAUCCACGAUUAUUUUUACUUUUAUUAGAAAUUUACAUAUCGUUGUAAUAGAAUAUUUUUUUAGAAUUAAUAUUUAAAAUUUAUUAUCAUAAUAAAAAUCAAAUCAAGGUGUAGUUUAUAUAAAAGAAGAAAUGGGUUACAUUAUAUUUAUAUUUGGAUUAAAAAUUAAAAAUUUUUAAAAAAUUGGAUUUGAAAGUAAUUAAUUUAAUUUAGUUUUAAUGAUUAAGCUCUAAAAUAUGC